CCUACGGGUGGCAGCAGUGAGGAAUAAUGGUCAAUGGGCGCGAGCCUGAACCAGCCAAGUCGCGUGAGGGAAGACGGUCCUAUGGAUUGUAAACCUCUUUUGUCGGGGAGCAAAAGACGCCACGCGUGGCGUGCCGAGAGUACCCGAAGAAAAAGCAUCGGCUAACUCCGUGACAGCAGCCGCGGUAAUACGGAGGAUGCGAGCGUUAUCCGGAUUAUUUGGGGUUAAAGGGUGCGCAGGCGGAAGAUCAAGUCAGCGGUAAAAUUGGGAGGCUCAACCUCUUCGAGCCGUUGAAACUGGUUUUCUUGAGUGAGUGAGAAGUAUGCGGAAUGCGUGGUGUAGCGGUGAAAUGCAUAGAUAUCACGCAGAACUCCGAUUGCGAAGGCAGCAUACCGGCGCUCAACUGACGCUCAUGCACGAAAGUGUGGGUAUCGAACAGGAUUAGAUACCCUUGUAGU
RNAcentral lists this ribosomal RNA (458 nucleotides) under uncultured bacterium. Its description in RNAcentral is "partial 16S ribosomal RNA". It matches the Rfam family "Bacterial small subunit ribosomal RNA", at positions 338 to 794 of the family's 1533-position model. The record is from RNAcentral.